AACGAACGCUGGCGGCAUGCCUAACACAUGCAAGUCGAACGAGACCUUCGGGUCUAGUGGCGCACGGGUGCGUAACGCGUGGGAAUCUGCCCUUGGGUUCGGAAUAACAGUUAGAAAUGACUGCUAAUACCGGAUAAUGUCUUCGGACCAAAGAUUUAUCGCCCAGGGAUGAGCCCGCGUAGGAUUAGCUAGUUGGUGAGGUAAAGGCUCAUCAAGGCGACGAUCCUUAGCUGGUCUGAGAGGAUGAUCAGCCACACUGGGACUGAGACACGGCCCAGACUCCUACGGGAGGCAGCAGUGGGGAAUAUUGGACAAUGGGCGAAAGCCUGAUCCAGCAAUGCCGCGUGAGUGAUGAAGGCCUUAGGGUUGUAAAGCUCUUUUACCCGGGAUGAUAAUGACAGUACCGGGAGAAUAAGCCCCGGCUAACUCCGUGCCAGCAGCCGCGGUAAU
This 450-nucleotide ribosomal RNA is filed under the name uncultured bacterium. Its description in RNAcentral is "bacterial SSU rRNA". It matches the Rfam family "Bacterial small subunit ribosomal RNA", at positions 29 to 524 of the family's 1533-position model. The record is from RNAcentral.